Molecule: ribosomal RNA, 434 nt
Filed under: uncultured bacterium
Lineage: Bacteria
Description: bacterial SSU rRNA
Rfam family: Bacterial small subunit ribosomal RNA
Source: RNAcentral
AGCGAACGCUGGCGGCAGGCCUAACACAUGCAAGUCGAACGGACCUUUCGGGGUUAGUGGCGGACGGGUGAGUAACACGUGGGAACGUGCCUUUAGGUUCGGAAUAAGCUCGGGAAACUGGGUCUAAUACCGAAUGUGCCCUUCGGGGGAAAGAUUUAUCGCCUUUAGAGCGGCCCGCGUCUGAUUAGCUAGUUGGUGGUGUAAUGGACCACCAAGGCGACGAUCAGUAGCUGGUCUGAGAGGAUGACCAGCCACACUGGAACUGAGACACGGCCCAGACUCCUACGGGAGGCAGCAGUGGGGGAAUAUUGGACAAUGGGCGAAAGCCUGAUCCAGCAAUGCCGCGUGAGUGAUGAAGGCCUUAGGGUUGUAAAGCUCUUUUACCCGAGAUGAUAAUGACAGUAUCGGGAGAAUAAGCUCCGGCUAACUCCGUG